RNAcentral lists this long non-coding RNA (386 nucleotides) under Sitophilus oryzae (rice weevil). RNAcentral describes it as "uncharacterized LOC115889166, transcript variant X2". Lineage: Eukaryota; Metazoa; Arthropoda; Insecta; Coleoptera; Curculionidae. The record is from RNAcentral.
UUAACACUAUGUUUAGCUUAUUUUCUUGCACUAUGCUUUAAUCUAACUUGAAUUUAUAUUUAAAUUAAGCGGUCAAAUUUCCAGGCUAGUGGUCACUUAACCUAUCUUAGACACAAAAAUAUUGUUUUACGAGGAAGAAUUAUUAUUAUUCCUUUGAGAAAGCUAAAAAAUGUAUUAUGAUACCUCUAAGUAAGUUCGAUGAUUACUUUUGAUAUCCUAGACGUCGAUCAGUAGGUAUAUUCAUUGAAAAUGGAUUUCCUCAAGAAUGGAUGACAGAGACUUUUAAACGACACUGUAAUAUAUAUCAUUAUUAAUUACCUCGGUUUAAUUGAACAAAAUCUAGAAUAUCAAAAUGAGAGGUAAGUUGGAAUGCUAGUAAAUCUAAU